Molecule: unclassified non-coding RNA, 198 nt
Filed under: Scedosporium boydii
Lineage: Eukaryota; Fungi; Ascomycota; Sordariomycetes; Microascales; Microascaceae
Description: partial internal transcribed spacer 2
Source: RNAcentral
CAACCCUCGAACCUCCGUUUCCUCAGGGAAGCCCAGGGUCGGUGUUGGGGCGCUACGGCGAGUCCUCGCGACCCCCGUAGGCCCUGAAAUACAGUGGCGGUCCCGCCGCGGUUGCCUUCUGCGUAGUAAGUCUCUUUUGCAAGCUCGCAUUGGGUCCCGGCGGAGGCCUGCCGUCAAACCACCUAACAACUCCAGAUG